GUAUAGGGCAGUCCAGUGAAUUCUUGGUAAUGAGCUUUUAGCACAAAGGACUUUGCAUGGGAAGACCCUGAGCUGCUGGAGUUUGAUUAGAGAGUUUUGCUGCCAUUCUUCGGGCCUUUGGCAAAGCUGUUUUCUGGUUAUCAGUAUUUACAUAGGUCUGUUCUACAACCUGGAGAAGACUCUCCCUCUCAGGUCCCCCUUGUCUUCUACAGCAGGCUGCAUCCCUCGUCCUCAGGCACUAGGUGCUGUC
RNAcentral lists this long non-coding RNA (250 nucleotides) under Macaca mulatta (Rhesus monkey). RNAcentral's name for it is "lncRNA (ENSMMUG00000059363.1)". Lineage: Eukaryota; Metazoa; Chordata; Mammalia; Primates; Cercopithecidae. The record is from RNAcentral.